CCUGGAUCCUUCUGCCAUGGGUCUAUCCACAAUGGCCUUUUCGAAGGGUUCAUCCGAACCAAGAACGGCACUUAUUACGUGGAGUCUGCCGGAGCGUGCACCAGCACCCACACCUCUCCAGGUCACUCUCUGAUCCAUCAUGAACGUGACAUAGAUUAUUCCUUGUUGGACGAUCCAGACUCUGCUGCCUUGACUGAGAGAGCACAUCAGAUCCUGCAACAUUUCCAGCAGGAGCUAAAGUUAAAGGGGGAAACCCUGGAGAGAGAGAAGAGGAGUUUGGAUUAUUCUAGGACAUCCUGCCUGCUGCAUCUGCAAGUUGAUUACUUGUUCUACCAAAGAUUUGGCACCACAGAGGCAGUGGUU
Gavialis gangeticus (Gharial) is the source of this 363-nucleotide long non-coding RNA. RefSeq lists it as uncharacterized. NCBI's taxonomy places the organism in Eukaryota, Metazoa, Chordata, Crocodylia, Gavialidae. The transcript is spliced from 3 exons. The record is from RefSeq and is a predicted model, not a curated record.